Molecule: long non-coding RNA, 929 nt
Filed under: Olea europaea (common olive)
Lineage: Eukaryota; Viridiplantae; Streptophyta; Magnoliopsida; Lamiales; Oleaceae
Description: long non-coding RNA (OEUR_LNC003667)
Source: RNAcentral
UCACUGCCUCUCGAACUCUCUCUGUGGUUCUCUUCUGUUCUCUCUACUGCACUCUUUCUUUUAGCCCAUUUAUGAUGAAAACUUACCAGUCAUGUGUAGAUCUUAAGUGAUUGAUGUAUAGGCUUUGAUCCUUCAUUCUUGAGUGAAUGUUGUUAUGAUUUGUGAGGCUUAUUUUUGGAAAAUCUUACGUGACUUCCACUGAGUGCCAAGAGAUCUAUACUGGACCGUUCGAUUGUUGAUGAUUUUAGUGAUAUAGUGAUUUUCUUCCUAUUUGACGGAAGCUCAAAAGAGGAUUAGGAACUCUGAUUCUGAACCUCUUGUCUUAGGGCGAAAAAUCUUGUGUUCAUCUUUAUUUUUCUGCGUUUUCUUUCCAUUUUAUUUUACGGUUAGUAUUUACGAUAUUUGUUGUUGAUUAAAACUCGCUAUUUUUUUGGUGAACUUCGCGUUACAACCUCAUAUGUAAUCAGGGAGGUCCCGGGCAGUAAAAGAACAAAUAUUACUGGGCAUGAAGAUAAAAGACUCUUGAAAUGAUAUAUGAUACGUCAUUUCUUUUCCCGUUAUUAUUAACUGCAGGAGCACGCGACGUGAUGAUUUAAUUGCCUAUGUAGUUAUUAUUAUCAUUAAUUUUAGCGACUGUAUAGUUUAUUUAUAUUUUGUAAAAUAUUUUAGUGGAUACAGUUUUUUUUUUUUUUUUUUUUUUUUUUGGAUAUUCAAUGCAAUUAUGUUGCAUAAACGAACACACACAUCAUGAAAUUUGCAGCUAGCUGAUUCAAUGCACUAUUAAGCUGCAAAGAGUGUCUGAUUUACUAAUCGUAGCUCUGUUUGUCUUCUCUCCGUCUUUUUCACAUUUUUCUUUAUUCAAAUGUUGCGUGCUAUCACUUUUUCUUACUACAGGCAACUUUAAUCGUUUCUUGGCUGUUAAACUGAUU